UCCAGCAGCCAUAUCACCCUGCAACUCACAACUGGCAACCCACUGAAGCUAAGUAGCCUGGUCAGUACCUGGAUGGGAGACCUCCUGGGAAAAACUAAGGUUGCUGCUGGAA
RNAcentral lists this ribosomal RNA (112 nucleotides) under Lepisosteus oculatus (spotted gar). The record is from RNAcentral. Lineage: Eukaryota; Metazoa; Chordata; Actinopteri; Semionotiformes; Lepisosteidae.